CUUCAAGGAAUCUCCCUAACGUGUAGUUGUGAGGUUAAGGUCGGGCUUGUUGAGAACGAAAGACACUAAUCGGGGAAAAGGAGCGUCUGCUAUUAGUAAUCACGCCUUAAAAAAUGGACAUAGCAGACAAAAAGUCAACACUCUGGCAUCAGAAAUCUCUUGAAGAACAAGCAUCUCGUCUAGAGACACAAUCUUCGUUGUCUCAAACAUCAGAUAUGAUCGCACGCGUGCUCGUCAUUUACACUGGCGGAACGAUCGGAAUGAUAAACAAGGACGGAGCCUAUGUGCCAGAAGCCAAAUGCCUUGUGACUAAGCUACGAUCACUAUCCAUUUUCCAUGAUGAAGAUUUUGUUCUUGGCCAUCUGUCUCCAGAGAAUCAGAAAAUCUUCCUUGCACUCCCGGCUCCUAUGGAUGACGGGAGCAAGCUGGUAAAGGAAAAAAGGCGCAUUGUUUAUAAAGUGAUAGAGUUUGAACCCCUGCUAGAUUCAUCCAACAUGACUGGAAAUGACUGGAUAAAGAUUGCGGAGUGCAUACAGAAACAUUAUGACAAGUAUGAUGGAUUUGUGGUUCUACAUGGCACAGACACAAUGGCUUACACUGCUUCUGCUCUAUCGUUUAUGUGUGAACAUCUUGGCAAACCAAUCAUUCUGACUGGUUCACAAAUUCCAAUUUUUGAGGUGAGAAGUGAUGGGAGAGAUAAUUUUCUGUCCUCUUUGAUCAUUGCUGGAACUUACCCCAUUCCUGAGGUGCUGCUGUGCUUCAAUGAAAAAGUGUACCGUGGUAACAGAUGCGUCAAGUCAGACAACUCCAGCUUCUCCGCUUUCUCCUCUCCCAACAUGCCUCCCCUUGUCAGAUUAGAAAUUGAUAUUUUUGUGGAUUGGCCAGCAGUGUUUUAUACUGGAGAGACAGAGAAGUUUAGAAUCCACACUAAUAUGUGUCAAAAUGUGGGCAUAUUGCGCCUGUUUCCUGGAAUCACAGCACAGACAGUGAGGGCUUUUAUGCAGCCUCCAAUGCAGGGUAUUAUCCUGCAGACUUAUGGAGCUGGAAAUGCACCAACCAAUCGGGCAGAUCUUCUUGAUGUGCUUGAGGAAGCUUGCAAGUGGGGUGUACUGAUUGUUAACAUCACUCAGUGCAGUCGUGGCAAUGUCAAUGCAGCUUAUGCCACUGGAGUGGCACUGCAGAAAGCUGGUGUGAUACUUGGUGGAGAUAUGACAACAGAGGCAGCUCUGGCCAAGCUAAGCUAUGUCUUGGGAAAAGGUGACUGGUCCAUGGAAAAACGAAAGAAGAUGCUGGGGCAGAACCUGCGUGGUGAGAUGACAACAGUAGCACAGGAGACCUUGUCUUUUAUGGACCAUGACCUCAUUGAGAGUGUUGCCCAAACACUUCAUCUGAGCACGCAUGAGGAGGUGAACAAACUGAAGGAUGCUCUCUUUCCCAAUCUCAUGUGUGCUGCUGCUAAAAAUAGUGACAUUCCUGCCUUGGAAAAACUCAUUGAAGCGGGCAGUCAUUUAUCAGCACCAAAUCAAGAUGGUCGAACUGCUCUUCAUGUAGCCUGCCACAGUGGAGAUCUCCGGCUGGUACAGUUUCUGCUGAACAAUGGAGCAUCUGUGCAUGUGCGGGAUUAUCGAGGCGACAGUCCAUUGAUUGAUGCAAUACAUGCAAAAAACUUGGACAUCAUUUAUUUGCUUGUACAGACAGGCGCUGUAAUACCCUGGUCCAAGUCUGCAAUAGCUUUACAUUUGUGCAGUGCUGCCGCACUCAACGACCUCAACACUAUCAAAGCUUGGCAUGCUGCUGGAGCUGACCUCAAUAGUUUUGACUACGACUAUCGCACUGCCCUUCAUGUCGCUGUGACAAGUAAUAGAAAAGAUGUAGCAGAGUUUCUGAUGAAGAAUGGUGCUCACUGCAAUCUUCAAGAUGUCUUUGGUUUGACUGCAUUGACUAUAGCCCAGAAACUGGGUUACACAGAGCUACUGAGUAUACUGAAUCCUGAUGGACAUCUUUGUGUGGAACCAAUUGAGAACUUGCUGUCUUGUAAUCACACUUCUUCUUUAUGACCAUUACACUGGAUUUUCUGUGAUGUAUAGAGAGGAAUCAUGCCAAACAAAAAAAUUAGACAUAUCAUUUAUUCUAUCAUUUUGCCAGAGAAACUUUGGGGAAACAAAAUAUUCUUUAUUGCAUGGUACAUUUUUAUAUUUGGACAUACAUACUACCACUAUCAUCAUUAUUGUUAUAUUUAUUUUGAAUGGAAAUGCAGUUAUCAUGUGACAUUAAUCUCUUCCUAUACACAAAUGCUGAUAACUGUAAUUCCACAUAACACUGCCCAUUUUAACUGAUGUCAGUUUAAUUUAUUUAGAACAGUGGUGGUAUUGGCUUAGUCAUAAAGACUCCUGGAUGGUCCCACUUACACUGAAAUCUGUUUGAAAGUUUUUUCCGGAAAAUCCCUGCAUAACUAGCAAUCUUGCAUCAGUGUUGAAUUCUUUUGUAGUUUGUCAAGGUCAUUCACAGGACUGUAAUACAGUUUUGUAAUUGUAAAAUAUCUGGGUUCCUUUUGAUUGAGAAAUGCUUACAAGAUGAAGUGCUAAGAACUGACUGUCCAUCUUUCAGAUAUUGCAGCAGUUUAAUGUGUGACAUUUCUGGAAUGUAAAUUGUGUUAAUUUCAUUUUAAAUACAAAGAAUCUCAUUUUAAAUAUCUCUAAAAGUGAUAAAUUCAAGUUUGUAAACUAUGUAUACAUAUCUAAAUCAAAACAUGUUAGAUUAUAUGCUGAGAGUGGAUUUUGAAAUAACAGUUUAGUAUAUUGAUAUACAUUCAGCUGAUACUGGGAGUUUCAUAUAUGUACUCGUUGUGUGACACUUUAGGCAGGGAUCUACUUUGAAUGCUAUUUCUUACAGCAGAAUAUGCACGUUACAAAUUCUGCAUAUAAAAAAAAGUGAAAUGCUAUCAGAUUUAUGUUGGGUUAAUGGUACGAUAGUGAAGAUCAUGUAGAGCUUAUGCCAAAGAUGCUUUCUGAGCUUUUCAGGAUUUGUAAUUUAUUUAUUUUAUUUUUUUUUUACAAAAUUAUUGAUGAGGUUUCUUGUGGAGUUAAAGUGCAUUAAUUUGAUAGUAGAAUCAAAGAAUCUCACUUGCAGUGUUUUUCUUUUUAAUUUAAAAAAUAUUUUACAUCUUUUAAAAAUGAUAGUCAAGUGCACAAACUGUAUAUAUAAAUUAAGACAUAAGAUAUGGUGCAAAAGUGGAUUAACAGUUUGAUAUUCUGAUUGUUUGCAUUUAUUAGUGCCUGAUGUAAACAUUUUGGUGAUACUGAUUUUGUUUAGAUUACUAAAUCAUCUUUGCUGUCAUUUGCUGCUUUGCAUUUUGUAUUAAACUCCUGAUAGCUGGGUUCAUAUGAUAGCCAGAUAAUCAAGAGUAGUAAACUCCUUGGUUUUGAGACUAUAUGAUGCUCAUUAUUACCACAUCCACAUCAUACAGUAAGGUAUUUGUUAAAUCACACAAUGAAAUUUGGAUCCGUACAGUUGUUAAACACCUUCUUCUACCCAUCCACCCCUUUAUCCUCAUCAAAAAAGUCCUUUGUCUGAUCCCAUUUACAGAUAGACAAUUUUCAUAUACCAGCUCUCUCUGAACAUUUUGUUAUGGAGGUUUUCCUCAUCCACAGUCUGUGGUAGAAAGCUUGAUCCUAUUCCACCCAGUGCUUCAGGUGCUCUGGCUGUAUUAAAUUGUUAUAUUUAUACAGGCGGCUCUAUAUAAUAGUAAGACGGAAUCAUCCAGAAUACAUAGAUUCCAUUAAUUCAAUCAUUGAUACACAGUUCCAGGAUGAAGGCGUUUUUUUUUUUUUUGGGGGGGGGGGGGGUUGUUCAUUAACUUUAUCUUACUUAUGGGUUUAUGGCAACAUCAGAAUUGUUGCCAUGUUUUUAAUUCAUUUUUCAGAAUCUCAGUUUGUCAGUCUUGAUCUUGGUGUUUCUUCAGGGUACUUUCAUGUACCAGGGUAAAGACUCUUUAAGGCCAUGACAAAACAGUGACCAUUGUUGAAGAAAAACUGAGAGAAUCUUAGACAUUUUUGGAGGAGAAAGGAUGAUUUUCAUUUCUAAUUUUUACGCUGCAAUAAAACAUUGUGGCACACAAGAAACACUUCUGGGUAACCUAAAUGUCUUGUCAUUUUUUUUUUUUUAAAAUAAAUAUGCCGAGAAAACCUCUAUUUGCUACACUGAGGUCAUGACAAUCCUUUUUUAAAAGCAUGUUUUUUUAAAAAAAGAAAAGCUGUAGUUUUAAGCACCAUCCCACCAAAGUUUCUCGUUAAAGUUGUUUUAUAAGCUGUGAUGUUGCUGUAAAUGUUCUUUACAUCAAGUAUUGUAAGUGUGCAUUUAUUAUGACACAUAUAUGGAUGUGGCAACAAGUAUUUAUAAACAUUGCUUUAACACAGAUCUGAUUUAAUAUUUUAAAAACAGUAAAGGUUUUGUAAUACAAUUAUUAUAUUUAUGAGGUAAUUUCAAUAAUCACCAGUUUAUUUUUGGUGAUGUUUUCAGGAAUUAAGUAUGUGUGCUACAUGUGCAGUGAGAAUAAAGAACUUGCAUCUAAACUUAUGUACCACAGCUCAACAUCAACAAGCUCAAAA
Molecule: unclassified non-coding RNA, 4607 nt
Filed under: Pomacea canaliculata
Lineage: Eukaryota; Metazoa; Mollusca; Gastropoda; Architaenioglossa; Ampullariidae
Description: l-asparaginase-like, transcript variant X3
Source: RNAcentral